UUAGUAACGGCGAGUGAAGCGGCAACAGCUCAAAUUUGAAAGCUGGCUCCUUUGGAGUCCGCGUUGUAAUUUGUAGAGGAUGAUUCGGCAAGGGCUCCCGCCUAAGUCUCCUGGAACGGAGCGUCAUAGAGGGUGAGAAUCCCGUAUGCGGUGGGCUGCCUAAGCCAUGUGAAUCUCCUUCGACGAGUCGAGUUGUUUGGGAAUGCAGCUCUAAAUGGGAGGUAAAUUUCUUCUAAAGCUAAAUACCGGCCAGAGACCGAUAGCGCACAAGUAGAGUGAUCGAAAGAUGAAAAGCACUUUGGAAAGAGAGUUAAAAAGUACGUGAAAUUGUUGAAAGGGAAGCGCUUGCAGCCAGACUUGUCCGCAGUUGCUCAGCCGGUCUCCUGACCGGUGUACUCUUCUGCGGCCAGGCCAGCAUCAGUUCGGGCGGUCGGAUAAAGACCUCGGGAAUGUAGCUCCUCUCGGGGAGUGUUAUAGCCCGGGGUGGAAUGCGGCCAGCCUGGACUGAGGAUCUCGCUUCGGCUAGGAUGCUGGCGUAAUGGCUGUAAGCGGCCCGUCUUGAAACACGGACCAAGGAGUCUAACAUCUAUGCGAGUGUUUGGGUGUCAAACCCAUGCGCGUAAUGAAAGUGAACGGAGGUGGGAACCCCCUCACGGGUGCACCAUCGACCGAUCCUGAUGUCUUCGGAUGGAUUUGAGUAAGAGCAUAGCUGUUGGGACCCGAAAGAUGGUGAACUAUGCCUGAAUAGGGUGAAGCCAGAGGAAACUCUGGUGGAGGCUCGCAGCGGUUCUGACGUGCAAAUCGAUCGUCAAAUUUGGGUAUAGGGGCGAAAGACUA
RNAcentral lists this ribosomal RNA (837 nucleotides) under Botryosphaeria dothidea. RNAcentral's name for it is "partial 28S ribosomal RNA". It matches the Rfam family "Eukaryotic large subunit ribosomal RNA", at positions 80 to 933 of the family's 3401-position model. Lineage: Eukaryota; Fungi; Ascomycota; Dothideomycetes; Botryosphaeriales; Botryosphaeriaceae. The record is from RNAcentral.